This 245-nucleotide ribosomal RNA is filed under the name uncultured bacterium. Its description in RNAcentral is "partial 16S ribosomal RNA". It matches the Rfam family "Bacterial small subunit ribosomal RNA", at positions 524 to 767 of the family's 1533-position model. The record is from RNAcentral.
UACAGAGAUGGCUAACGUUGCUCGGUAUCAUUGGGCGUAAAGCGCGCGUAGGCGGUCUGGUAAGUUAGAUGUGAAAUUUCGUGGCUUACCCACGGAACCGCGUCUAAUACUGUCAGACUGGAGUGCCGAUAGGGAGAGUGGAACUCCUGGUGGAGCGGUGAAAUGCGUAGAUAUCAGGAGGAACGCCGGUGGCGAAGGCGACUCUCUGGACGGUUACUGACGCUGAGUGUGCGAAAGCUAGGGGA